GGAAUAUUGCGCAAUGGACGAAAGUCUGACGCAGCAACGCCGCGUGCAGGAUGACGGCCCUCUGGGUUGUAAACUACUGUAGUGGGGGAAUAAUAUCCCGUUUUACGGGACUGAAGGUACCCCGAAAGUAAGCUCCGGCUAACUACGUGCCAGCAGCCGCGGUAAUACGUAGGGAGCAAGCGUUGUCCGGAUUUACUGGGUGUAAAGGGUGCGCAGGCGGACUAGUAAGUCAGGGGUGAAAUCUUACGGCUCAACCGUGAAAUUGCCUUUGAUACUGCUAGUCUUGAGUUCGGGAGAGGUUGAUGGAAUUCCAGGUGUAGCGGUGGAAUGCGUAGAUAUCUGGAAGAACACCAGUUGCGAAGGCGGUCAACUGGCCCGUAACUAACGCUCAGGCACGAAAGCGUGGGGAGCGAA
RNAcentral lists this ribosomal RNA (414 nucleotides) under uncultured bacterium. RNAcentral describes it as "bacterial SSU rRNA". It matches the Rfam family "Bacterial small subunit ribosomal RNA", at positions 358 to 772 of the family's 1533-position model. The record is from RNAcentral.